AUUGAACGCUGGCGGCAUGCCUUACACAUGCAAGUCGAACGGCAGCGCGGGAGCAAUCCUGGCGGCGAGUGGCGAACGGGUGAGUAAUAUAUCGGAACGUGCCCUAGAGUGGGGGAUAACUAGUCGAAAGAUUAGCUAAUACCGCAUACGAUCUACGGAUGAAAGUGGGGGAUCGCAAGACCUCAUGCUCGUGGAGCGGCCGAUAUCUGAUUAGCUAGUUGGUAGGGUAAAAGCCUACCAAGGCCACGAUCAGUAGCUGGUCUGAGAGGACGACCAUCCCCACUAGGACUGAGACACGGCCCAGACUCCUACGGGAGGCAGCAGUGGGGAAUUUUGGACAAUGGGGGAAACCCUGAUCCAGCAAUGCCGCGUGUGUGAAGAAGGCCUUCGGGUUGUAAAGCACUUUUGUCCGGAACGAAACGGGCCGAGCUAAUAUCUUGGCCUAAUGACGGUACCGGAAGAAUAAGCACCGGCUAACUACGUGCCAGCAGCCGCCGUAA
This 500-nucleotide ribosomal RNA is filed under the name uncultured bacterium. RNAcentral describes it as "partial 16S ribosomal RNA". It matches the Rfam family "Bacterial small subunit ribosomal RNA", at positions 30 to 523 of the family's 1533-position model. The record is from RNAcentral.